This 713-nucleotide ribosomal RNA is filed under the name Agaricus sp. RWK_1923. RNAcentral's name for it is "eukaryotic LSU rRNA". Lineage: Eukaryota; Fungi; Basidiomycota; Agaricomycetes; Agaricales; Agaricaceae. The record is from RNAcentral.
GGAAGGAUCAUUAUUGAAUUAUGUUUCUAGAUGGGUUGUAGCUGGCUCUUUGGAGCAUGUGCACGCCYGUUUGGAUUUCAUUUUCAUCCACCUGUGCACUUAUUGUAGUCUUUGGUUUGGGUAUUGAGGAAGUGGUCAACCUAUCAGCAUUUGCUGGAUGUGAGGAGUUUGCAGUGCGAAAGCAUUGCUGUCCUUUACUUUGGCCAUGGAGUCUUUUGCCUGCCAGAGUCUAUGUCAUUCAUUAUACCCUCUCGAAUGUUAUCGAAUGUUUUYACAUGGGCUUUCAUGCCUAUGAAAAUUAUAAUACAACUUUCAGCAACGGAUCUCUUGGCUCUCGCAUCGAUGAAGAACGCAGCGAAAUGCGAUAAGUAAUGUGAAUUGCAGAAUUCAGUGAAUCAUCGAAUCUUUGAACGCAUCUUGCGCUCCUUGGUACUCCGAGGAGCAUGCCUGUUUGAGUGUCAUUAAAUUCUCAACUCUCUUAUACUUUGUUGUAUAGGAGGGCUUGGAUUGUGGAGGUUUGCUGGCAACUUGUUUGCGGUCAGCUCCUCUGAAAUGCAUUAGCGGAACCGUUUGCGAUCUGCCACAAGUGUGAUAAACUAUCUACACUGGCGAGGGGAUUGCUCUCUGURUUGUUCAGCUUCUAAUCGUCUCAAUUUGAGACAACYUYUUGARUACUUGACCUCAAAUCAGGUAGGAYUACCCGCUGAACUUAA